This 301-nucleotide ribosomal RNA is filed under the name uncultured bacterium. Its description in RNAcentral is "partial 16S ribosomal RNA". It matches the Rfam family "Bacterial small subunit ribosomal RNA", at positions 509 to 807 of the family's 1533-position model. The record is from RNAcentral.
CAGUAGCCGCGGUAAUACGAAGGGUGCAAGCGUUAAUCGGAAUUACUGGGCGUAAAGCGUGCGUAGGCGGUUUGUUAAGUCUGCUGUGAAAUCCCCGGGCUCAACCUGGGAAUGGCAGUGGAUACUGGCAAGCUAGAGUGUGUCAGAGGAUGGUGGAAUUCCCGGUGUAGCGGUGAAAUGCGUAGAGAUCGGGAGGAACAUCAGUGGCGAAGGCGGCCAUCUGGGACAACACUGACGCUGAGGCACGGAAGCGUGGGGAGCAAACAGGAUUAGAUACCCCUGUAGUCCCUGUCUCUUAUAC